This 23-nucleotide non-coding RNA is filed under the name Mus musculus (house mouse). The record is from RNAcentral. Lineage: Eukaryota; Metazoa; Chordata; Mammalia; Rodentia; Muridae.
UGCGAACGUCUUCAUUCUUGCCA